AGAACUUAGCAGAGAUGCUUUUGGUGCCUUCGGGAACUCUGAGACAGGUGCUGCAUGGCUGUCGUCAGCUCGUGUUGUGAAAUGUUGGGUUAAGUCCCGCAACGAGCGCAACCCUUAUCCUUUGUUGCCAGCGGUCCGGCCGGGAAACUCAAAGGAGACUGCCAGUGAUAAACUGGAGGAAGGUGGGGAUGACGUCAAGUCAUCAUGGCCCUUACGAGUAGGGCUACACACGUGCUACAAUGGCGCAUACAAAGAGAAGCGACCUCGCGAGAGCAAGCGGACCUCAUAAAGUGCGUCGUAGUCCGGAUUGGAGUCUGCAACUCGACUCCAUGAAGUCGGAAUCGCUAGUAAUCGUGGAUCAGAAUGCCGCGGUGAAUACGUUCCCGGGCCUUGUACACACCGCCCGUCACACCAUGGGAGUGGGUUGCAAAAGAAGUAGGUAGCUUAACCUUCGGGAGGGCGCUUACCACUUUGUGAUUCAUGACUGGGGUGAAGUCGUAACAAGGUAAGCGUAGCGAG
RNAcentral lists this ribosomal RNA (519 nucleotides) under uncultured bacterium. RNAcentral describes it as "bacterial SSU rRNA". It matches the Rfam family "Bacterial small subunit ribosomal RNA", at positions 992 to 1509 of the family's 1533-position model. The record is from RNAcentral.